CUCCGCAGCCCGGGUCAACCAGCCGACGGUGGCGGAACGGCGGGCAGGUCGGCGGAGUUAGAUGGCCGCAAAGUCUUCCUCUGUUGCCCAGGCUGGAGUGCAGUGGUGAGAUCUCGGGGAAAAACGUGGCCGGCCGGAGUCCUCCCACAGACGACAGUGCCUUCCCGGCAGCAUCUCCGCCGGGCCCAAGAGGGUCGUGGAGUCGCUGGCUUCCUCCCAGGAACCCAGAGUUGAUCUCUACACCACGCCAUCACUGCCAGGGGUGAGGAAAUUCUGGCACCAGUGAUUCAGCACUGUUUUUUUCUCUCUCUUCAGUGCCUCUUUCAGUGAUAUGAAGUUAAAACCAGAUACCCAGCCGUGGGAUUGCUAGAUCAGACAGAGCCAAUUGAUGAUCAGCAGGGCCUGAAAAUGCCAAAACCCUGAAACAACUGACCUUCGAAAACUUCAACAUCCCUGAACGAAACGUCCAAACACAUUUAUCCACCAAUCAAAGACCCUUUA
This 501-nucleotide long non-coding RNA is filed under the name Homo sapiens (human). RNAcentral's name for it is "non-protein coding lnc-SYT10-3:4". Lineage: Eukaryota; Metazoa; Chordata; Mammalia; Primates; Hominidae. The record is from RNAcentral.